AACGCGAAGAACCUUACCCAGGCUUGACAUGCAGUGGAAGUUAGUAGAGAUAUUAACGCCCUUCGGGGCCGCUGCACAGGUGCUGCAUGGCUGUCGUCAGCUCGUGCCGUGAGGUGUUGGGUUAAGUCCCGCAACGAGCGCAACCCUUAUCGUUAGUUGCCAACAGGUAAUGCUGGGAACUCUAGCGAGACUGCCUGGGUUAACCAGGAGGAAGGUGAGGAUGACGUCAAGUCCGCAUGGCCCUUAUGUCUGGGGCUACACACGUGCUACAAUGGUCGGUACAGAAGGCAGCGAAACCGUGAGGUGAAGCAAAUCCCCCAAAGCCGGCCCCAGUUCAGAUUGUAGUCUGCAACUCGACUACAUGAAGUUGGAAUUGCUAGUAAUGGCGAGUCAGCAACAUCGCCGUGAAUACGUUCCCGGGCCUUGUACACACCGCUCGCGA
RNAcentral lists this ribosomal RNA (442 nucleotides) under uncultured bacterium. Its description in RNAcentral is "bacterial SSU rRNA". It matches the Rfam family "Bacterial small subunit ribosomal RNA", at positions 958 to 1399 of the family's 1533-position model. The record is from RNAcentral.